AUCGUUCAUUUCUAUUUUUUAACUAUCUAACUCAAGAUAGAUGUUUUAUAGAGACGGAAGUAAGGAGUAAUCCUGAAGGAACGCGCC
This 87-nucleotide non-coding RNA is filed under the name Aliterella atlantica CENA595. Its description in RNAcentral is "Glutamine riboswitch aptamer (glnA leader)". It matches the Rfam family "Glutamine riboswitch aptamer (glnA leader)". The record is from Rfam by way of RNAcentral. Lineage: Bacteria; Bacillati; Cyanobacteriota; Cyanophyceae; Chroococcidiopsidales; Aliterellaceae. RNAcentral also lists the same sequence under 1 other name.